CCCUUGUUGUUUUCUGUUCCCUUUUUCCAAAAUACAUAAAUCCUACUGAAGUUUAUCUAUUUUUUCCCACUUCAGAACACCAGGCACUGAUUUAUCCAUUGGGAGUCUUGGCUUGCUUUUUAAUACCUAUAUUAAAAAACAAAAUAAGAG
Long non-coding RNA from Phyllostomus discolor (pale spear-nosed bat), 150 nucleotides. RefSeq lists it as uncharacterized. The record is from RefSeq and is a predicted model, not a curated record. Lineage: Eukaryota; Metazoa; Chordata; Mammalia; Chiroptera; Phyllostomidae. The transcript is spliced from 3 exons.